RNAcentral lists this ribosomal RNA (407 nucleotides) under uncultured bacterium. RNAcentral's name for it is "partial 16S ribosomal RNA". It matches the Rfam family "Bacterial small subunit ribosomal RNA", at positions 28 to 526 of the family's 1533-position model. The record is from RNAcentral.
GACGAACGCUGGCGGCGUGCCUAAUACAUGCAAGUAGAACGCAGUUGCGAACGGGUGAGUAACGCGUAGGUAACUGCCUGGUAGCGGGGGAUAACUAUUGGAAACGCUAGCUAAUACCGCAUACUACCAGAUGGACCUGCGUUGUAUUAGCUAGUUGGUGAGGUAACGGCCCACCAAGGCAACGAUACAUCGCCGACCUGAGGGGGUGAGUGGCCCAACUGGGACUUAGACACGGCCCAGACCCCGACGGGAGGCAGCCGGAGGGAAACUUCGGCAAUGGGGGGAACCCUGAACGAGCCACGGCGCGGGAGUGGAAAAGGUUUUUCGAACGUAAAGCUCUGUUGUUAAGGAAGCGGUACUUAACCAGAAAGGGACGGCUAACUACGUGCCAGCAGCCGCGGUAAUUC